GAUGAAGAACGCAGCGAAAUGCGAUAAGUAGUGUGAAUUGCAGAAUUCAGUGAAUCAUCGAAUCUUUGAACGCACAUUGCGCCCCUUGGUAUUCCAUGGGGCAUGCCUGUUCGAGCGUCAUUUGUACCUUCAAGCUCUGCUUGGUGUUGGGUGUUUGUCCUUGCUCUAGUGGCGGGACUCGCCUUAAAGUAAUUGGCAGCCAGUGUUUUGGUUUUGAAGCGCAGCACAAGUCGCGAUUCAAGUCUAUACGCUAGUUUCCACAAGUCUUUUAUCACUUUUGACCUCGGAUCAGGUAGGGAUACCCGCUGAACUUAAGCAUAUCAAUAAGGGAGGA
Molecule: unclassified non-coding RNA, 334 nt
Filed under: soil metagenome
Description: partial contains 5.8S ribosomal RNA, internal transcribed spacer 2, and large subunit ribosomal RNA
Rfam family: 5.8S ribosomal RNA (bases 1-120)
Source: RNAcentral